Molecule: ribosomal RNA, 236 nt
Filed under: uncultured bacterium
Lineage: Bacteria
Description: partial 16S ribosomal RNA
Rfam family: Bacterial small subunit ribosomal RNA
Source: RNAcentral
UGAGGAACAUGACCUUCGGCGGGGGAUAGCCGGCCCAACGGCCGGGUAAUACCGCGUACGACACGUGGGGACAUCCCUGAGUGGUGAAAGCAGCAAUGCGCCGAUGGAGUGCCUCGCGGCCUAUCAGCUAGUUGGUGAGGUCACGGCUCACCAAGGCGACGACGGGUAGCCGGCCUGAGAGGGUGACCGGCCACACUGGGACUGAGACACGGCCCAGACUCCUACGGGAGGNAGCG